This 254-nucleotide ribosomal RNA is filed under the name uncultured bacterium. RNAcentral describes it as "partial 16S ribosomal RNA". It matches the Rfam family "Bacterial small subunit ribosomal RNA", at positions 524 to 776 of the family's 1533-position model. The record is from RNAcentral.
UACGUAGGGUGCAAGCGUUAAUCGGAAUUACUGGGCGUAAAGCGUGCGCAGGCGGUUGGGUAAGACAGAUGUGAAAUUCCCGGGCUCAACUUGGCGAACUGCAUUUGUGACUAUUCGACUAGAGUACGGUAGAGGGGAGUGGAAUUCCGCGUGUAGCAGUGAAAUGCGUAGAUAUGCGGAGGAACACCGAUGGCGAAGGCAGCUCCCUGGGCCUGUACUGACGCUCAUGCACGAAAGCGUGGGGAGCAAACAGG